GACGAACGCUGGCGGCGUGCUUAACACAUGCAAGUCGAACGGAAAGGCCCUGCUUUUGUGGGGUGCUCGAGUGGCGAACGGGUGAGUAACACGUGAGUAACCUGCCCUUGACUUUGGGAUAACUUCAGGAAACUGGGGCUAAUACCGGAUAGGAGCUCCUGCUGCAUGGUGGGGGUUGGAAAGUUUCGGCGGUUGGGGAUGGACUCGCGGCUUAUCAGCUUGGUGGUGGGGUAGUGGCUUACCAAGGCUUUGACGGGUAGCCGGACUGAGAGGGUGACCGGCCACAUUGGGACUGGGGUGCGGCCCAGACUCCUACGGGAGGCAGCAGUGGGGAAUAUUGCACAAUGGGCGGAAGCCUGAUGCAGCAACGCCGCGUGCGGGAUGACGGCCUUCGGGUUGUAAACCGCUUUCGCCUGUGACGAAGCGUGAGUGACGGUAAUGGGUAAAGAAGCACCGGCUAACUACGUG
RNAcentral lists this ribosomal RNA (468 nucleotides) under uncultured bacterium. RNAcentral describes it as "partial 16S ribosomal RNA". It matches the Rfam family "Bacterial small subunit ribosomal RNA", at positions 28 to 507 of the family's 1533-position model. The record is from RNAcentral.